CAAUAGCGUGUAUUAAAGUUGUUGCAGUUAAAAAGCUCGUAGUUGGAUUUCUGGUGGGAGCGAUCGGUCUGGCGCUUAGCGCGAGUACUUGCAUCGUCUCCGGCCAUCCUUGGGGAGAGUCUGUCUGGCAUUAGGUUGUCGGGCAGAGGAUCUUCAUCGUUUACUGUGAAAAAAUUAGAGUGUUCAAAGCAGGCUUAUGCCGUUGAAUAUAUUAGCAUGGAAUAAUAAGAUAGGACUUUGGUACUAUUUUGUUGGUUUGCGCACCAAAGUAAUGAUUAAUAGGGACAGUUGGGGGUAUUCGUAUUCCGUUGUCAGAGGUGAAAUUCUUGGAUUUACGGAAGACGAACUACUGCGAAAGCAUUUACCAAGGAUGUUUUCAUUAA
This 383-nucleotide ribosomal RNA is filed under the name uncultured eukaryote. Its description in RNAcentral is "partial 18S ribosomal RNA". It matches the Rfam family "Eukaryotic small subunit ribosomal RNA", at positions 592 to 976 of the family's 1831-position model. The record is from RNAcentral.